Molecule: ribosomal RNA, 1409 nt
Filed under: Staphylococcus aureus
Lineage: Bacteria; Bacillati; Bacillota; Bacilli; Caryophanales; Staphylococcaceae
Description: partial 23S ribosomal RNA
Rfam family: Bacterial large subunit ribosomal RNA
Source: RNAcentral
GAUUAAGUUAUUAAGGGCGCACGGUGGAUGCCUUGGCACUAGAAGCCGAUGAAGGACGUUACUAACGACGAUAUGCUUUGGGGAGCUGUAAGUAAGCUUUGAUCCAGAGAUUUCCGAAUGGGGAAACCCAGCAUGAGUUAUGUCAUGUUAUCGAUAUGUGAAUACAUAGCAUAUCAGAAGGCACACCCGGAGAACUGAAACAUCUUAGUACCCGGAGGAAGAGAAAGAAAAUUCGAUUCCCUUAGUAGCGGCGAGCGAAAUGGGAAGAGCCCAAACCAACAAGCUUGCUUGUUGGGGUUGUAGGACACUCUAUACGGAGUUACAAAGGACGACAUUAGACGAAUCAUCUGGAAAGAUGAAUCAAAGAAGGUAAUAAUCCUGUAGUCGAAAAUGUUGUCUCUCUUGAGUGGAUCCUGAGUACGACGGAGCACGUGAAAUUCCGUCGGAAUCUGGGAGGACCAUCUCCUAAGGCUAAAUACUCUCUAGUGACCGAUAGUGAACCAGUACCGUGAGGGAAAGGUGAAAAGCACCCCGGAAGGGGAGUGAAAUAGAACCUGAAACCGUGUGCUUACAAGUAGUCAGAGCCCGUUAAUGGGUGAUGGCGUGCCUUUUGUAGAAUGAACCGGCGAGUUACGAUUUGAUGCAAGGUUAAGCAGUAAAUGUGGAGCCGUAGCGAAAGCGAGUCUGAAUAGGGCGUUUAGUAUUUGGUCGUAGACCCGAAACCAGGUGAUCUACCCUUGGUCAGGUUGAAGUUCAGGUAACACUGAAUGGAGGACCGAACCGACUUACGUUGAAAAGUGAGCGGAUGAACUGAGGGUAGCGGAGAAAUUCCAAUCGAACCUGGAGAUAGCUGGUUCUCUCCGAAAUAGCUUUAGGGCUAGCCUCAAGUGAUGAUUAUUGGAGGUAGAGCACUGUUUGGACGAGGGGCCCCUCUCGGGUUACCGAAUUCAGACAAACUCCGAAUGCCAAUUAAUUUAACUUGGGAGUCAGAACAUGGGUGAUAAGGUCCGUGUUCGAAAGGGAAACAGCCCAGACCACCAGCUAAGGUCCCAAAAUAUAUGUUAAGUGGAAAAGGAUGUGGCGUUGCCCAGACAACUAGGAUGUUGGCUUAGAAGCAGCCAUCAUUUAAAGAGUGCGUAAUAGCUCACUAGUCGAGUGACACUGCGCCGAAAAUGUACCGGGGCUAAACAUAUUACCGAAGCUGUGGAUUGUCCUUUGGACAAUGGUAGGAGAGCGUUCUAAGGGCGUUGAAGCAUGAUCGUAAGGACAUGUGGAGCGCUUAGAAGUGAGAAUGCCGGUGUGAGUAGCGAAAGACGGGUGAGAAUCCCGUCCACCGAUUGACUAAGGUUUCCAGAGGAAGGCUCGUCCGCUCUGGGUUAGUCGGGUCCUAAGCUGAGGCCGACAGGCGU